GAAACUGCCGGUAAUACCGGAUAACGUCUCCGGACCAAAGGUGUGAUUCCGUCUGGGGAUGGGUCUGCGUCCUACUAGCUUGUUGGCGAGGUAAUGGCUCACCAAGGCAAAGAUGGGUACCGGGCGUGAGAGCGUGGCCCGGCUCACUGGGACUGAGACACUGCCCAGACACCUACGGGUGGCUGCAGUCGAGAAUCUUCCGCAAUGGACGAAAGUCUGACGGAGCGACGCCGCGUGCGGGAUGAAGGCCUUCGGGUUGUAAACCGCUGUCAGUUGGGAGGAAAUGCUAUGGGGCACUCUCCAUAGUUUGACCGAUCUUCAGAGGAAGUACGGGCUAAGUUCGUGCCAGCAGCCGCGGUAACACGAACCGUACGAACGUUAUUCGGAAUCACUGGGCUUAAAGAGUUCGUAGGCGGCUUAGUAAGUUGGGUGUGAAAUCCCUCGGCUCAACCGAGGAACUGCGCCCAAUACUGCUAAGCUUGAGGGAGACAGGGGUGAGCGGAACUGAUGGUGGAGCGGUGAAAUGCGUUGAUAUCAUCAGGAACACCAGUGGCGAAAGCGGCUCAC
This 567-nucleotide ribosomal RNA is filed under the name uncultured Planctomycetota bacterium. RNAcentral describes it as "bacterial SSU rRNA". It matches the Rfam family "Bacterial small subunit ribosomal RNA", at positions 153 to 729 of the family's 1533-position model. Lineage: Bacteria; Pseudomonadati; Planctomycetota. The record is from RNAcentral.